Molecule: ribosomal RNA, 716 nt
Filed under: Escherichia coli
Lineage: Bacteria; Pseudomonadati; Pseudomonadota; Gammaproteobacteria; Enterobacterales; Enterobacteriaceae
Description: partial 23S ribosomal RNA
Rfam family: Bacterial large subunit ribosomal RNA
Source: RNAcentral
GGGACACGUGGUAUCCUGUCUGAAUAUGGGGGGACCAUCCUCCAAGGCUAAAUACUCCUGACUGACCGAUAGUGAACCAGUACCGUGAGGGAAAGGCGAAAAGAACCCCGGCGAGGGGAGUGAAAAAGAACCUGAAACCGUGUACGUACAAGCAGUGGGAGCCUCUUAAUGGGGUGACUGCGUACCUUUUGUAUAAUGGGUCAGCGACUUAUAUUCUGUAGCAAGGUUAACCGAAUAGGGGAGCCGAAGGGAAACCGAGUCUUAACUGGGCGUUAAGUUGCAGGGUAUAGACCCGAAACCCGGUGAUCUAGCCAUGGGCAGGUUGAAGGUUGGGUAACACUAACUGGAGGACCGAACCGACUAAUGUUGAAAAAUUAGCGGAUGACUUGUGGCUGGGGGUGAAAGGCCAAUCAAACCGGGAGAUAGCUGGUUCUCCCCGAAAGCUAUUUAGGUAGCGCCUCGUGAAUUCAUCUCCGGGGGUAGAGCACUGUUUCGGCAAGGGGGUCAUCCCGACUUACCAACCCGAUGCAAACUGCGAAUACCGGAGAAUGUUAUCACGGGAGACACACGGCGGGUGCUAACGUCCGUCGUGAAGAGGGAAACAACCCAGACCGCCAGCUAAGGUCCCAAAGUCAUGGUUAAGUGGGAAACGAUGUGGGAAGGCCCAGACAGCCAGGAUGUUGGCUUAGAAGCAGCCAUCAUUUAAAGAAAGCGUA